UACGUAGGGACCGAGCGUUGUUCGGAUUUACUGGGCGUAAAGCGCGUGUAGGCGGCUUGGCAAGUUGAAUGUGAAAGCCCACGGCUCAACCGUGGAAGCGCAUCCAAAACUGCUUCGCUGGAGUCUCGGAGAGGAAGGUGGAAUGCUUGGUGUAGAGGUGAAAUUCGUAGAUAUCAAGCAGAACACCUGCGGCGAAGGCGGCCUUCUGGACGAUGACUGACGCUGAGACGCGAAAGCGUGGGGAGCGAACAGG
This 253-nucleotide ribosomal RNA is filed under the name uncultured bacterium. RNAcentral describes it as "partial 16S ribosomal RNA". It matches the Rfam family "Bacterial small subunit ribosomal RNA", at positions 524 to 776 of the family's 1533-position model. The record is from RNAcentral.